UUUUACUGACAAUUACAGGAUAUCCAAAGCUUCAAAAUCUACUUAUAGAUGGUGACUGGUGUUCUGGGGAUCAACUGAGGGUGCAAGAGAUAAGUCAAGAGACCCAGUGGACACAUAGCCACACUCUGUCCCAGAGCCUAAGAUUUCAGUGCCAAACCUAGUGACCACUAUACCCACGGACAAUAAGACUGGGUUGGGGCCUGGCUGUAAGACCCAGCCAUGCAAACCUGCUGCCUGGAUCUGAGAACCAACUCCAAGCAUCUGCCUUCAAUGCUGAUGACCUGAUUGUUUUUCUCUCUGUUCUGCAAAAACGUUCUAUGCUUUCCCACCAUGGUGUCCAGGUGUUCCCCAUUUCCUGCAGAUGAUGUUCUGCCUCCAACUUUCUGCAUAUGUCACUUUCCCCUUUUUCAAGGCCUGGUUCCAGUGCCCCCUGCUUGGGCAGCACAUCACCUAUUGUCUCAGCUCUCCGCAUUGGCUCUCUCGUCAAAACAGC
This 493-nucleotide long non-coding RNA is filed under the name Homo sapiens (human). RNAcentral's name for it is "HSALNT0180973". Lineage: Eukaryota; Metazoa; Chordata; Mammalia; Primates; Hominidae. The record is from RNAcentral.